Gasterosteus aculeatus aculeatus (three-spined stickleback) is the source of this 541-nucleotide long non-coding RNA. The record is from Ensembl. NCBI's taxonomy places the organism in Eukaryota, Metazoa, Chordata, Actinopteri, Perciformes, Gasterosteidae.
GGAAAGAAGACAACAGAACAGAAGACUAUGUAGCAAGACUGCAGAUGAAGAACACUGAGGAAGACCACAAUACAAUGGAGGAAGAUUUACCUGAAUCUUCUCUGGACGACGUGCUUCAGUGCUCCAAUGGAUCAAGCUCAAGUUCCACCUCCGGACCUGCUAGAGGGUCAGAGAGCAGACCAGAAUCCAGCAGGAUGUAGCAGGGCUUCAGUUGAGGAUUUGUCACAAACUCAGCAGAGCCAGGGCUGGAAUCAGGUCCAGGGCCAGAGCUUCACCUCAGAAAAUGGAAAGAGUCCAGAAUCAGGGAAACACCUUUGCCCACCUGGACCAGAUACAGGACUAGGACCCAAUACAGGAUCAGGAUCAGGUAAAAGACCAGUACCAGAUGCCGGGACCAGAAACUAAUACAGGACCAGGUCCAGUACCAUUGCCAGAAACAGUAGCAGAAUCCGGACAAGGACCUUCAUACAGCCAGCGAGGAGGCAGCGGGGGAGUCCAGUGGCGGGGUCCCGGCCUUCACGGAGGCGAAGGCGGAGGCGGG